UACGUAGGGGGCAAGCGUUAUCCGGAAUUACUGGGUGUAAAGGGUGAGUAGGCGGCUAGAUAAGUCAUAUGUGAAAUACUUGAGCUCAACUUAAGUCCUGCAUAAGAAACUGUUUGGCUAGAGUACAGGAGAGGUAAGCGGAAUUCCUAGUGUAGCGGUGAAAUGCGUAGAUAUUAGGAAGAACACCAGUGGCGAAGGCGGCUUACUGGACUGAGACUGACGCUGAGGCACGAAAGCGUGGGGAGCGAACAGG
RNAcentral lists this ribosomal RNA (253 nucleotides) under uncultured bacterium. RNAcentral's name for it is "partial 16S ribosomal RNA". It matches the Rfam family "Bacterial small subunit ribosomal RNA", at positions 524 to 776 of the family's 1533-position model. The record is from RNAcentral.